GAUGGACGCUGGCGGCGUGCUUAACACAUGCCAGUCGAACGGAAAGGCCCAAGCUUGCUUGGGUACUCGAGUGGCGAACGGGUGAGUAACACGUGGGUGAUCUGCCCUGCACUUCGGGAUAAGCCUGGGAAACUGGGUCUAAUACCGGAUAGGACCACAUUUUGGAUGGUGUGGUGGAAAGUUUUUCGGUGUGGGAUGAGCUCGCGGCCUAUCAGCUUGUUGGUGGGGUAAUGGCCUACCAAGGCGUCGACGGGUAGCCGGCCUGAGAGGGUGUACGGCCACAUUGGGACUGAGAUACGGCCCAGACUCCUACGGGAGGCAGCAGUGGGGAAUAUUGCACAAUGGGCGCAAGCCUGAUGCAGCGACGCCGCGUGGGGGAUGACGGCCUUCGGGUUGUAAACUCCUUUCGCUAGGGACGAAGCGUUUUUGUGACGGUACCUGGAGAAGAAGCACCGGCUAACUACGUG
RNAcentral lists this ribosomal RNA (467 nucleotides) under uncultured bacterium. RNAcentral's name for it is "partial 16S ribosomal RNA". It matches the Rfam family "Bacterial small subunit ribosomal RNA", at positions 28 to 507 of the family's 1533-position model. The record is from RNAcentral.